This 207-nucleotide ribosomal RNA is filed under the name uncultured bacterium. RNAcentral's name for it is "partial 16S ribosomal RNA". It matches the Rfam family "Bacterial small subunit ribosomal RNA", at positions 568 to 774 of the family's 1533-position model. The record is from RNAcentral.
UGCGUAGGCGGUUACUUAAGUAGGGUGUGAAAUCCCAUGGCUCAACCAUGGAACUGCGCUCUAAACUGGGUGACUUGAGUGAGAUAGGGGUAUGCGGAACUUCCAGUGGAGCGGUGAAAUGUGUAGAUAUUGGAAGGAACACCGGUGGCGAAGGCGGCAUACUGGGUCUUAACUGACGCUGAGGCACGAAAGCUAGGGUAGCGAACG